UUCACUUGUUGGUGAGGUAAUGGCUCACCAAGGCGUCGACGGGUAGCCGGCCUGAGAGGGUGACCGGCCACACUGGGACUGAGACACGGCCCAGACUCCUACGGGAGGCAGCAGUGGGGAAUAUUGCACAAUGGGCGAAAGCCUGAUGCAGCAACGCCGCGUGAGGGAUGACGGCCUUCGGGUUGUAAACCUCUUUUAGCAGGGAAGAAGCGAGAGUGACGGUACCUGCAGAAAAAGCACCGGCUAACUACGUGCCAGCAGCCGCGGUAAUACGUAGGGUGCAAGCGUUAUCCGGAAUUAUUGGGCGUAAAGAGCUCGUAGGCGGUUUGUCGCGUCUGCUGUGAAAUCUGGGGGCUCAACCCCCAGCCUGCAGUGGGUACGGGCAGACUAGAGUGCGGUAGGGGAGAUUGGAAUUCCUGGUGUAGCGGUGGAAUGCGCAGAUAUCAGGAGGAACACCGAUGGCGAAGGCAGAUCUCUGGGCCGUAACUGACGCUGAGGAGCGAAAGGGUGGGGAGCAAACAGGCUUAGAUACCCUGGUAGUCCACCCCGUAAACGUUGGGAACUAGUUGUGGGGUCCAUUCCACGGAU
This 588-nucleotide ribosomal RNA is filed under the name uncultured Microbacterium sp. RNAcentral's name for it is "bacterial SSU rRNA". It matches the Rfam family "Bacterial small subunit ribosomal RNA", at positions 241 to 839 of the family's 1533-position model. The record is from RNAcentral. Lineage: Bacteria; Bacillati; Actinomycetota; Actinomycetes; Micrococcales; Microbacteriaceae.